UACGUAGGGGGCAAGCGUUAUCCGGAUUUACUGGGUGUAAAGGGGGCGCAGACGGCGAUGCAAGCCAGGAGUGAAAGCCCGGGGCCCAACCCCGGGACUGCUCUUGGAACUGCGUGGCUGGAGUGCAGGAGGGGCAGGCGGAAUUCCUGGUGUAGCGGUGAAAUGCAUAGAUAUCAGGAGGAACACCGGUGGCGAAGGCGGCCUGCUGGACUGCAACUGACGUUGAGGCCCGAAAGCGUGGGGAGCAAACAGG
RNAcentral lists this ribosomal RNA (253 nucleotides) under uncultured bacterium. RNAcentral describes it as "partial 16S ribosomal RNA". It matches the Rfam family "Bacterial small subunit ribosomal RNA", at positions 524 to 776 of the family's 1533-position model. The record is from RNAcentral.